Molecule: ribosomal RNA, 953 nt
Filed under: uncultured eukaryote
Lineage: Eukaryota
Description: SSU rRNA
Rfam family: Eukaryotic small subunit ribosomal RNA
Source: RNAcentral
UUAAAAAGCUCGUAGUUGGAUCUCGGCGGGUAGAGGGCGGUUUGCUUCGUAGCAUUACUGCCCUAUUACCCGUAGUUUUUGCCAGAGGUUCCUGGGUGCUCUUAAUCGAGUGUCUAGGGAUGCUGGCAGGUUUACUUUGAAAAAAUUAGAGUGCUCAAAGCAGGCUAUUACGCUUGAAUAUUCGUGCAUGGAAUAAUAGAAUAGGAAGUUGUUUCUAUUUUGUUGGUUUUCGGAAAUCGACUUAAUGAUUAAUAGGGACAGUCGGGGGCAUUUGUAUUCAAACGACAGAGGUGAAAUUCUUGGACCGUUUGAAGACAAACUACUGCGAAAGCAUUUGCCAAGAAUGUUUUCAUUAAUCAAGAACGAAAGUUAGAGGUUCGAAGGCGAUUAGAUACCGCCCUAGUUCUAACCAUAAACGAUGCCAGCUAGCGAUCUGAGGACGUUUUUUUUGUAGACUCCUCAGGAAGCUUCCGGGAAACCAAAGCGUGUGGGUUCCGGGGGAAGUAUGGUUGCAAAGCUGAAACUUAAAGGAAUUGACGGAAGGGCACCACCAGGAGUGGAGCCUGCGGCUUAAUUUGACUCAACACGGGAAAUCUCACCAGGCCCGGACACUGGAAGGAUUGACAGAUUGAGAGCUCUUUCUCGAUUCGGUGGGUGGUGGUGCAUGGCCGUUCUUAGUUGGUGGAGUGAUUUGUCUGGUUAAUUCCGAUAACGAACGAGACUCUGUCCUGCUAAAUAGUGUCGGCCUCUCUUUUGGGCCGACAAUUCUUCUUAGAGGGACUGGCAGCUCCUAGCUGCACGAGAUAGAGCAAUAACAGGUCUGUGAUGCCCUUAGAUGUUCUGGGCAGCACGCGCGCUACACUGAAUAGAUCAGCGUGUUCUCCCUUUCUGAGAAGAACGGGUAAACCGCUGAACCCUAUUCGUGGUAGGGAUCGGGGCUUGCAAUUAUUCCC